RNAcentral lists this non-coding RNA (202 nucleotides) under Gymnodinium catenatum. The record is from RNAcentral. Lineage: Eukaryota; Dinophyceae; Gymnodiniales; Gymnodiniaceae.
CGCUGCCAGCAAGUUAGGCGCCGCGGCGUCGGUGAGCACUUCGGCGAGCGAGGUGACCGCGGAACGCCGGGCCUACUUGUUUGAGGAUCUCGACUCGGAUGUAGGCGACGCCACCAUCGCCGACUUGGGCGACGUCACCGUCGCAGAAGGCAGCGAUGUCACCAUUGCAGAAAAUGAGCAGAGAGACAUCGAAUUCACGUCG